This 499-nucleotide ribosomal RNA is filed under the name uncultured bacterium. Its description in RNAcentral is "bacterial SSU rRNA". It matches the Rfam family "Bacterial small subunit ribosomal RNA", at positions 28 to 514 of the family's 1533-position model. The record is from RNAcentral.
GAUGAACGCUAGCUACAGGCUUAACACAUGCAAGUCGAGGGGAAACGAUAUUGGAAGCUUGCUUCUGAUAGGCGUCGACCGGCGCACGGGUGAGUAACGCGUAUCCAACCUGCCCAUCACUUGGGGAUAACCUUGCGAAAGUAAGACUAAUACCCAAUGACGUCUCUAGAAGACAUCUGAAAGAGAUUAAAGAUUUAUCGGUGAUGGAUGGGGAUGCGUCUGAUUAGCUUGUUGGCGGGGUAACGGCCCACCAAGGCGACGAUCAGUAGGGGUUCUGAGAGGAAGGUCCCCCACAUUGGAACUGAGACACGGUCCAAACUCCUACGGGAGGCAGCAGUGAGGAAUAUUGGUCAAUGGACGAGAGUCUGAACCAGCCAAGUAGCGUGCAGGAUGACGGCCCUAUGGGUUGUAAACUGCUUUUAUAAGGGAAUAAAGUGGGAGUCGUGACUCUUUUUGCAUGUACCUUAUGAAUAAGGACCGGCUAAUUCCGUGCCAGCAG